Molecule: ribosomal RNA, 467 nt
Filed under: uncultured bacterium
Lineage: Bacteria
Description: partial 16S ribosomal RNA
Rfam family: Bacterial small subunit ribosomal RNA
Source: RNAcentral
GAUGAACGCUGGUGGCGUGCUUAACACAUGCAAGUCGAACGAUGAAGCCCAGCUUGCUGGGUGGAUUAGUGGCGAACGGGUGAGUAACACGUGAGCAACCUGCCCCUGACUCUGGGAUAAGCGCUGGAAACGGCGUCUAAUACUGGAUAUGUCCCGUCACCGCAUGGUGUGCGGGUGGAAAGAUUUUUCGGUUGGGGAUGGGCUCGCGGCCUAUCAGCUUGUUGGUGAGGUAAUGGCUCACCAAGGCGUCGACGGGUAGCCGGCCUGAGAGGGUGACCGGCCACACUGGGACUGAGACACGGCCCAGACUCCUACGGGAGGCAGCAGUGGGGAAUAUUGCACAAUGGGCGGAAGCCUGAUGCAGCAACGCCGCGUGAGGGAUGACGGCCUUCGGGUUGUAAACCUCUUUUAGCAGGGAAGAAGCGAAAGUGACGGUACCUGCAGAAAAAGCACCGGCUAACUACGUG